GUUUGAUCAUGGCUCAGGAUGAACGCUGGCGGCGUGCCUAAUACAUGCAAGUCGAACGAGAACUAUCUUUCGAGAUGGGGAAAGUGGCGGACGGGUGAGUAACACGUAGAUGACCUGCCUCAGAGAAGGGGACAACCCGCCGAAAGGCGAGCUAAUACCCUAUAAGCUCACGAUGACUAGAAGAUUGUGAGAAAAGCUCCGACGCUCUGAGAGGGGUCUGCGGGCCAUCAGCUAGUUGGCGGGGUAACAGCCCACCAAGGCAUUGACGGCUAGGGGACCUGAGAGGGUGAUCCCCCACACGGGAACUGAGAAACGGUCCCGACUCCUACGGGAGGCAGCAGUAAGGGAUAUUGCACAAUGGGCGCAAGCCUGAUGCAGCAACGCCGCGUGCAUGAUGAAGGCCUUCGGGUCGUAAAAUGCUUUUCUGGCUGAAGAAGGGUCGCCUUCGGGCGGCUUUGACCGUAAGCCAGGAAUAAGUGUCGGCUAACUACGUGCCAGCAGCCGCGGUAAAACGUAGGACGCAAGCGUUAUCCGGAGUUACUGGGCGUAAAGCGCGGGCAGGCGGUUCUUUAAGUCUGAUGUGAAAUCUCCCGGCUCAACCGGGAGCAGCCAUUGGAAACUAGGGAACUGGAGGGCGAGAGAGGUAGGCGGAAUUCCGGGUGGAGUGGUGAAAUGCGUAGAGAUCCGGAGGAACACCAGAGGCGAAGGCGGCCUACUGGGUCGCACCUGACGCUGAGCCGCGAAAGCCAGGGGAGCGAACGGGAUUAGAAACCCCGGUAGUCCUGGCCGUAAACGAUGUGUGCUGGGUGGUGGGGGGUCUCCCCGCACUGCCGAAGCUAACGCGAUAAGCACACCGCCUGGGGAGUACGGUCGCAAGGCU
This 880-nucleotide ribosomal RNA is filed under the name uncultured bacterium. Its description in RNAcentral is "bacterial SSU rRNA". It matches the Rfam family "Bacterial small subunit ribosomal RNA", at positions 11 to 895 of the family's 1533-position model. The record is from RNAcentral.